GAACGAUCUAUUCCGUCCGAAGGAGUUAUUCUCUACUCUGUGUGGCCAUCCACGAAAUAGGGUUCGACAACAGCACGAUAUCUCUCUUGGGGGUAUGCUCUCGGAGGCUCUCGGAGGCUCCAGCGCUUCUGCUUGCACGGAGAAGUGUUUUGGACUCGCACUGACGUCAGCGCUCGCCCCCAGCGCAGAGUGCGUCACCGCGUUGCACCAGUGUAGCGUGGAUUGUUCGAAGCUCCUCAGUCUUCUGGCUGCUGCGGGUUUCCCGUCCGGAACUUGUUUCAUCGUGAACAACAUCGCGAUCCACAAAUCCUUUGUCGAAUAGAGUGGCGUGCGCUUUCGUGUUCAGCGGGCAGAGCACCUGCCGCAGACUUACCCGGAAUAAGCUGUCGAUCACAGGGUACGGUACCGGGCGCGUGGAUGGAGGACGGCACUUGCGGGAUGGUUCUGUACCCAGCACGUGCAUGUGCUGUGAGCGUUGGGGCAAGCGUUCACGCGCCACAGGGCGGCGCUCAGAGGAGGAAGCGUAUUGGACAAACAGGAAAAGCGUGACCAUUACCAAGAGUCGCUGCUGCGAAGGGCGUAUCGAUGCUGCUCUGGAGAGAAAAUGGAGAUGGCAGACAAAGCGAAGAUCGCAACUUUUGCCUGGGCAUGGCAUGCGUUGGCACCAGCCUGAGACGGCGAAAUCGGGACUUUAAUGCUGGCAUCAAUAUCCGUCGAGCUCUGACGACAGAUCUUGAGGGAGGUGAUCGACCGGCGUAUUUAAAGUCGUAGCUACGAGAAAUCUAAUGGAAGCAGUCACAGAGAAUCCGCCAAGGCUGGUGUUGAUGACUGCGGAAAGGGACAGAAACUUGAAUAUGCAAACCAGAAUUGUCCAGAUAGGACUCGUUUCAUACUUAUGGAGCAUAGGUUUAGUGGUAUAUUCAGAGACGGAUUUCUCUCUGUACAAAAUUCUCAAACUCCUCUCUGUCGAUUCUGUUGUCUCCGUUGGUGUCGGCUAGUCUAAUCAUCGCUGUGAUGUCGCUGUCAGUCAUUUGUUCAGCCUCUUGUUGCCCCAUUUGACACAUGAUUGCCCUCAUGAGCUGGCGAGGUGUAAUAAAACGUUGAUCAUUGCGAAGUUCAUCGAAAACGAAGGUGACCUCCGAUGCUUUCAACUUUUUCGCACUGUCAGCGGGCUUUUUUUUCAGAGAAGCUGCCUCUGUUUUCACGGUUGCGGCAGCUGCAGUGGGCUGUUCAAGCUCUCUUACGCCAUUUCCGCGAACAGCUCUCUUGCCGUUCACUGCGCUUCCGCUAACUUGGGUUUGCUUACGCUUCCGCGUGGCUGACCGGUCGUGCUCCCCACUGGUCUCGUCCGCGCUCUCUGCGUCGCUUCGCUUCCAGCUCGUGUCCGAAUCAGAGAGAGCCUCUGUUGAUUCGCUGCUGCAACGCCGCAAGUUGUGGUCUUGCGCGCCCCCAGUGCGGGCCAGGCUUCGAGGUGCAUCAGUGCCGGCGCGUGCGGAGGCUCUGCUCGAGCGCACUGUGGAAGAGCCUCCUUUGCCAUGCGUUGUCACCGUCUUGCUCCUUCCGUCGCUCGUUGAAGCGUGCUUUAUGCGAGGCAUCAAAGCGUGAAAAGUCCUUCACUUGAAAUACGCAAGCUCGUCCGAGUCAGCAAGAGAAGACACUUUAACGUUUUCAACUGUUAUGCGCCGGCGUCUGUGUGGCAAACCUUUCGGGCAUGGCCACGUUUUCUUUGCAGAGAGGGUACAUAUACCGCUGUACGUCCGCUAGCAUGAAUGAAAUUUGCUUUUCCCGUCUGCUGUAAUAACGACUUGAUGCAUGUCGCGGCCGCGUCUCCUUUUCGCUGCUCCUUGCCACCGGAUAUGAAAGAGCCAGUCUUAGGGGAAAAGGGCCAAGUCUGCGUUUGCAUCACACGAGCUUCGCACAACUUAUGCGAUGCUCUGAUGCAAUGCUGCAACAUCGAUACGAGUGAGGUCACAAGUGCGACUCUCCGGGUGAAUAUGAGCGUAAUAAAGAACUUCGUCGACCAUCCAAUUGUCGAGCCCAGCGAUGAAGCGCUGGCCCAAAAGCAACGAUUUGAUAUUCGCUUUCGGGUACACUAACAUUUUCCUUUCGAAGCGCUCAAUAGGAGGGAGCGCAUGCAGCGCAUCGAAGCCUCCUAUGAGGCUUCGAAUCUCGACAGAAGGACACGACGAGUCGCUGAGGCGCAUCCUCGUAACCUUUCGCGGGUCGACCAGCGCGAACUCUCGGACAGAGAUACCGUUUAUACUGGCAGAAUCUACUCCUGGGGAGCAGGGAGCAAAACUAAAAACAA
This 2308-nucleotide unclassified non-coding RNA is filed under the name Cyanidioschyzon merolae strain 10D. RNAcentral's name for it is "hypothetical transcript". The record is from RNAcentral. Lineage: Eukaryota; Rhodophyta; Bangiophyceae; Cyanidiales; Cyanidiaceae.